Molecule: transfer RNA, 74 nt
Filed under: Pseudoglutamicibacter albus
Lineage: Bacteria; Bacillati; Actinomycetota; Actinomycetes; Micrococcales; Micrococcaceae
Also listed under: 1 other name
Description: tRNA-Pro
Rfam family: tRNA
About the family: Transfer RNA (tRNA) molecules are approximately 80 nucleotides in length. Their secondary structure includes four short double-helical elements and three loops (D, anti-codon, and T loops). Further hydrogen bonds mediate the characteristic L-shaped molecular structure. tRNAs have two regions of fundamental functional importance: the anti-codon, which is responsible for specific mRNA codon recognition, and the 3' end, to which the tRNAs corresponding amino acid is attached (by aminoacyl-tRNA synthetases). tRNAs cope with the degeneracy of the genetic code in two manners: having more than one tRNA (with a specific anti-codon) for a particular amino acid; and 'wobble' base-pairing, i.e. permitting non-standard base-pairing at the 3rd anti-codon position.
Source: RNAcentral
CGGGGUGUGGCGCAGCUUGGUAGCGCGCGUCGUUCGGGACGACGAAGUCGCAGGUUCAAAUCCUGUCACCCCGA